AGAAACUCAAAUGAAUUGACGGGACCCCGCACAAGCGGUGGAUCAUGUUGUUUAAUUCGAUGAUACGCGAAGAACCUUACCAGGUCUUGACAUCCCCCCGCGAUGCUUUAGAGAUAAAGCGGAGGUAUUCGGGGAGACAGGUGGUGCAUGGUUGUCGUCAGCUCGUGUCGUGAGAUGUUGGGUUAAGUCCCGCAACGAGCGCAACCCUUGCCUUUAGUUGCCAGCAGUUCGGCUGGGCACUCUAAAGGGACUGCCGGUGUUAAACCGGAGGAAGGUGGGGAUGACGUCAAGUCAUCAUGGCCCUUACGGCCUGGGCUACACACGUGCUACAAUGGUCGGUACAAAGGGUUGCCAAGCCGCGAGGUGGAGCUAAUCCCAUAAAACCGAUCGUAGUCCGGAUCGCAGUCUGCAACUCGACUGCGUGAAGUCGGAAUCGCUAGUAAUCGUGAAUCAGAAUGUCACGGUGAAUACGUUCCCGGGCCUU
RNAcentral lists this ribosomal RNA (484 nucleotides) under uncultured Pseudomonas sp. Its description in RNAcentral is "bacterial SSU rRNA". It matches the Rfam family "Bacterial small subunit ribosomal RNA", at positions 895 to 1382 of the family's 1533-position model. Lineage: Bacteria; Pseudomonadati; Pseudomonadota; Gammaproteobacteria; Pseudomonadales; Pseudomonadaceae. The record is from RNAcentral.